GUUUUGUCUCCUCAGUUACUAAUGAAUAAGACUUUUGGAAACUUGAGAAAGCCCACUCUAAUCCAUAUCCUUAAAAUUGCUUUUUAAUGAUCUUUCAGUGUUUUGAAAAUGGGACUAAAGAAGAAAGGAGAUGUUAAGGAAAGGUCAAGGUACAGCUAAAAGAGAAUAUAGCAAUCAUAUACUGAAAAAAGAGAAACUAGAAUCUUUCUAAACAGUGUUGGACCGUUGACUUCUGUGGUUAUUCUGAAGUUUUCUAUCUCUUCCAUAUUUUUCUGUCUUUCCUGAGUCUCAUGCCUCUGCCAGGAAUCUGACAGUACUCUGCCUGAUUUGAAACACAUGAAUUUCAUCUCAAAGUUCUCAUAUUUAGUAAACGUUGGUACUGGGAUGGUGACAAUCUAGGUUUAUACACCCUAUAUUAAUCUACCGUGAAUGCUUGUGAAUAUUUUCAGAGUUUAUGGAUUUCAGAGUUCUAGUCCAAACAUGUUUUAGUUUCAUAGAAGCCAUUUAAAUAUCAGUAAAGGUCCUGAUGAGGAGUAAAGUGAAGCUGCAGACUCAAAGACCAAGUCCAUGGUGAUAAGAGGGAAGUGGUGGAGUGUCUAAGGGAAAAUACUAACCAGGGUAGAGUUUACAGCUAGAAGGUUGUUUAAUCAUUUUCCAAAGCAUGCUAUGCAAAUGUUAACAGUGUGUCAGAAAAUAAGUCUGGGAAAGCCAAAUUUAAAGGUUCCUGUAGAGAGGACUUUGGGAGCCUCUACUAAACUAAAUGCAUUACAAGUCUACCUGACAUUGCUUGGAAAAUUCCAAACUUAUUUAACCAAAAACACUCUUUAUUUGGAAUAUCCUUAGAGAAAUACUGAUGACAUUAAAUGCCUUUGUUUUACAGUUUCAUCCCCUCACAUAAUGCCUUCCUCUUACAAGUCAGUGCUCCUGCCCUACACAACCUCAUUCUAAACCAGUGACAGUCAGAACUAGUGCCUGAUUACCAAGCUGUGUUUUAUACCAGACUACCUGUUUCCCCUAAUAAGGAAUUCCUAAAGGGCAGAAGCUGCCUCUCAUAGUUUAUUGUCCCAUCUGUCUUAUCUCACACACAGACCUCUUGCAUAACCUGAUGUUUUGCUUGCAACGAACUAUUAGUAAAAAUGUCUGUAGACUUCAGUUUUCCAGUUGGCCUCCCUUGUUCCUCCCAGGCCCUCAUGAAAGAGUCCUGCAAGGUAACUACAAACUUAAUGUCUCACAUUCAGAACACCCUGGAAGGAAAAAAAAGAAAUGCAAAACAAAAAGGAUAUAACAAAAUAUCCAGGAAAGAUUUUAUUAGUUUUCCAUUUCAAUGACAAUGCAAAUUUAGUGUUAAAUAAUGUUUAAGAGUUGCAGUGUUAAAUAAUGUUUCUAUCCCUUUCAUUGCUUCCCAUAGUGUUUACAUGUUGAUUAUCAAUCAUGACACUCCUAAAAUUUCCAACAUAAUCUGGGCACUGUGGUGCACUCCUGUAAUCCCAGCAAUUUGGGAGGCUGAGGCGGGAGGAUUUCAAGUUCCAGGUCAGCCUGCCAACUUAGAUCUUAUCUCAGAAUAAAAAUAAUGAUAAUAAAAAAGGUUGAGGAUAUAGUUUAAUGGUGGAGCACCCCUUGGUUUAAUCCUUAGUACCACCAAAAAUGAGACUGUUACAACAUAGUUUAACUCAUGGAAAUAUAAAAAUUUAGGUGCUGUACUUUUUGGAGACUAGAAGAGCUUUUGCUAAUCUCUGUGUAUGUGUGGUGAGUGUGUGUGUGUUCCCACUAAUAGUUCUUGGCAGACUGUUAGCAUGAACUCUUCCUCUGCCUUUGUGUUUGAAUAGGGGUGGGUACAUGCUCAGUAUUGUGUGUCACCUUAUGGUUUUUCAUUUAUAGGUAACAGAGUGCAGCUUACUUCCUCCCCACCCUACAGUACUCAGGAUAUGUUGGGAAAUAUUCCUUAGAAAGAUUAUAUCUGUCCUUCUGGUUGGAGUACGAUGGAAAAAAAUGUAUUCAUCUCUGGGUGUCCAUGGGAAUUGUUUCCAAGACCCCAUGCAGAUAUCAAAAUCUGCAGUUGCUGUAGUUCCUUAUAUAAAACGGCAUAGUUUUUGCAUAUAACUUAUGCUUGUGCAUCUCUAAAUUACUUUUAAUUUCUA
This 2138-nucleotide long non-coding RNA is filed under the name Marmota monax (woodchuck). Lineage: Eukaryota; Metazoa; Chordata; Mammalia; Rodentia; Sciuridae. The record is from RNAcentral.